Eriocheir sinensis (Chinese mitten crab) is the source of this 1725-nucleotide long non-coding RNA. RefSeq lists it as uncharacterized. The transcript is spliced from 3 exons. The record is from RefSeq and is a predicted model, not a curated record. NCBI's taxonomy places the organism in Eukaryota, Metazoa, Arthropoda, Malacostraca, Decapoda, Varunidae.
AUUGUCCGCAUUUCCUCCUGCCUAUAAUUUGACCUUCAAGAAGAGUGUAUCAAGACUCUACUUUUGUCUGUUUGGGAGUGGCGAGUAGUGGGGCUUUUUUUUCUAGUACGCUUUGUUGCUCUUGAGCUGUCUCCUUUGUUUAAAGAAAAUAAUAGUUAAAUAAAUGGAAGUUGGCCGCCAAUGCUUCCAACACAUUUUGGUGCCAUAUCUACAAGUGGCUGGUGACUGUAAGCAUCUCAGCAACCUGCAUGCAUCUAUGCCAUUCCUAUCAUGGUGCAUGGAGCAAGCUUCACAUAACACUCAGACAGAGACAGUUUAAUUAUGGUUACAUAUCAGACUCAGUUUAUUGCUCAGUCUAUUAGGUGCAGUGCUGUUAAUAUUGUUAGUGGUAGUAUUAGUACAAUUAAUGUAUUUAUUUUAAUUAAUUUAUCAAUAUUUAUUUAUUAUAUUCUUAGUGUUUGAAAAUUCCAAUACUAGCAUUAAAAUAAACAAAAAUAUCAGAAAUAUAUUUAUACUCAUUAAUUAUUAUUGCUUUUCUUAUUAUUACUUCCUUCAAUGUCCUGGCACUUUGACAUCUAGUGUUUUUCUGUCUAGCAGCCAAAAUUGUGGUCUUUCUGAAUGUGUAUGUCCUAAGUCUUCAUUGGUGUAUCUAGCUAUAUAACAAAAAUCUGCAUCUCUCUCUCUUCUCACCCAGUUGUCCCCGUACAUCCUUUCAGUAUCCAAAGAAUUUCAAUUUACAUCUUGUAAUCACUCAACUAAUGCAGUGCAAUCCUCAUCUCUGUAUUUUACCGUGUGGACAUACUCUUUCCUUCCAUGUUCCACUGUCGUAUGUUAUUCCACAUCUAACACAACCACAUCCCAACAGAUCCGAACACGUCCGAUAUCAUCCAAGAGAAUGUGGCAGCUGAAGGGGGAGAGGCCAAGAAAGAGGCCAAGGGUGAAGACAUUUAGCCACCCCCCCUGAAGUACAUGGCAUCAUUCAACCCUCUUGGUGAGCUACAGGAAUGUGCUUCCCAUUGCAGUGCACCAGCUCCAUGUACUGAUUUUGGGUGUGAACUUGAUGGGGUUGGAGGAAACUUGACUCGGCCAUCAAGCUCACCACAAUAUAACAUGAAAAGUGAAAAUUGCUGCACACAACAGUCUGUCGUCUGCACCGGGAGGCAAGGCAGCUCAAAGCCCAGGCUGUUACAAAUCCUGGGCAGUUUUUGCCCAGAGCCAGCAAUUUUUUAGAUCCAAUAGGGAUGGAUUUUUUAUGAGGUCAGGUUCAACAUGCUGCAAGAUGCCAAGAUCUAAGCCUAGUAGGAGAUAUGGGUUACAAGAGAGGAGGUUUGCUCUGGCCUUAUACUAUCAAAGUCCAAAUGCUAAUAGAUUUCUGAGCACAGUAUUUCACUUGUCUUCAGUUUCAACACUUCAAUCAUGACUCACGGGUAUUUCAGUACAUGUUGGCUGGAGCAAACAGACUCUGACAGCCCUGCAGCAAAGAGCACAGGCUUUGUCAAAAGAAGAGAAACUUUGUGGGAUUUGCCAUUAUUUAGUAUUACUCUUGUUACGCCAAGAAUUUUUUUCCAUAUACUUUGCCAAAUAUUGCAAGUAAUGCACCAUUGUUGGGCUUGCUUGUUAUAAAUCAUAUCUUGUUCAAUUAACAAGCUUUGGGUGUCUGCCACUUUCCAGUUGUAAUGCAAGAAAUCAUUUAUCUUCCCUGCUAGAUAUCACACGUAAUGCACC